RNAcentral lists this ribosomal RNA (357 nucleotides) under uncultured bacterium. RNAcentral's name for it is "bacterial SSU rRNA". It matches the Rfam family "Bacterial small subunit ribosomal RNA", at positions 28 to 365 of the family's 1533-position model. The record is from RNAcentral.
GACGAACGCUGGCGGCGUGCUUAACACAUGCAAGUCGAACGAUGAAGUUCGGACGGAGGCUUCGGCCAACUGAAGAACGGAUUAGUGGCGGACGGGUGAGUAACGCGUGAGUAACCUGCCUUUCAGAGGGGAAUAACAUUUGGAAACGAAUGGUAAUACCCGCAUAAAGUCACGGAACCGCAUGAUUCUGUGACCAAAGGAGCAAUCCGCUGAAAGAUGGACUCGCGUCCGAUUAGCUAGUUGGAGAGGUAACGGCUCCCCAAGGCGACGAUCGGUAGCCGGACUGAGAGGUUGAACGGCCACAUUGGGACUGAGACACGGCCCAGACUCCUACGGGAGGCAGCAGUGGGGAAUAUU